UGUUGAAACACGGGUUCCCAUAUGAUCACCGAAGUUAAGCAACAUCAAUCCUGAUCAGUACCUAUAUGGGUGAACGAUUGAGAAUACCAGGUGCUGUAAG
Acanthosepion pharaonis is the source of this 100-nucleotide non-coding RNA. Lineage: Eukaryota; Metazoa; Mollusca; Cephalopoda; Sepiida; Sepiidae. The record is from the annotation of a GenBank genome assembly.